UCGAGGAUCUUCGGCAAUGGGCGCAAGCCUGACCGAGCGACGCCGCGUGUGCGAUGAAGGCCUCGGGUUGUAAAGCACUGUCGAGGGGGAGGAAAGCCGCAAGGCUUGACCUAUCCCUGGAGGAAGCACGGGCUAAGUUCGUGCCAGCAGCCGCGGUAAGACGAACCGUCCGAACGUUAUUCGGAAUUACUGGGCUUAAAGGGUGCGUAGGCGGCGGAGAAAGUAGGGUGUGAAAUCCCUCGGCUUAACCGAGGAACUGCGCUCUAAACUACUUUUGCUUGAGGGAGAUAGAGGUGAGCGGAACUUAGGGUGGAGCGGUGAAAUGCGUUGAUAUCCUAAGGAACACCGGUGGCGAAAGCGGCUCACUGGAUCUCUUCUGACGCUGAGGCACGAAAGCUAGGGUAGCGAACGGGAUUAGAUACCUG
This 425-nucleotide ribosomal RNA is filed under the name uncultured bacterium. RNAcentral describes it as "bacterial SSU rRNA". It matches the Rfam family "Bacterial small subunit ribosomal RNA", at positions 355 to 789 of the family's 1533-position model. The record is from RNAcentral.